GCUUAGUUGUGCGCGCCCGCGCUCUGCUGUCUGCAGACCGCGUGCGCCGGCAGUGGCUCUAAGGGGGCCGCGAGGGCACAGCGGGGCAGGACCGCGGCAGAGCGCAGUAAGGAGAGUGUGGACCCUCGCCCUGUCCUCUAAGCUCCAUGUGAAAUGUGGAUAAUAUUCCUUACUGCCAUAAAUAGCCACUGGCCGCUGACUACGCGUAAGGCAAACAAGCGACCUGCGUUCAAGGGACCCGAAGACUAGGGGAGAAGCAGCGAGCGGGUCGCGGCCGCCUACCCAACGGACGCCUCUGCCCAGGUUCUCUGCCGGGAAGCUUCGUCCUUCCGGGCCCCAGCGCAGCCGGAGGCUGGGGAGCUGCUGCCUGGAAGGGUCAGAUACCGCCUGUUAGGCGGAGGGUGGGAAAGACACUCUCCUGCUUCAGGAGCUAUCGCAGACAACCGGAGGGCGGCUUAUCGCAGAGUCCCAGAGCCAGCCAGCAAGGCAAGGUCGCGGGUGCACCUUUCACUCCCAGAAGCUUGGGUCUGGGACUGCACCACGCAACGUUUGCCCAUUUUGAGGGCUUUAGGUGUUUCAUAUUUCAGUUAAUAGAAUUUCGAUUAAUACAUAAUUUGAUACCAUUUUAAUUGUUUGCUACUCGGGAGCAAGUUUUAUGUUUAGCUGUAGGAGUUAGGCUAAGUUAAAUGUUGCAAUGCUAUAUAUAUUUAAUAGGAUAUGAAAAAACUAUCUUACAGCCGGGCGCGGUAACUCACGCCUGUAAUCCCCGCACUUUGGGAGGUCGAGGCAGGAGGAUCGCUUGAGCUCAGGAGUUUGAGACCAGCCUGGACAACAUAGUGAGACCUUGUCUCUAUUUAAAAAACAACAACAGGCCUGGCGCGGUGGCCCACGCCUGUAAUCCCAGCACUUUGGGAGGCUAAGGCGGGCGGAUCACCGGAGGUCAGGAAUUCAAAACCAGCCUGGCCAACAUGGCGAAACCCUGUCUCUACUAAAAAUACAAAAAUUAGCCAGGCAUGGUUGCGGGCGCCUGUAAUCCCGGCUACUCGGGAGGCUGAGGCAGGGGAAUCCUUGAACCCGGGAGGCAGAGGUUGCAGUGAGAUCGCGUCCAUGCACUCCAGCCUGGGCGACAGAGCAUGACUCUAUCUCAAAAAAAAAAAAUCUUACUAUUUGGUAUGGAAUUUUCUGAUAGCUAGGGUAAAGAUGCUCUUUUUCCAAGAAGGAAUCCGAGUAUCCGAAUACAGGUGGUUUAGUGUUACUCUUUGUUUAUUGGAAGUUGUAGCAGCUGUGUUUAGAUAGUCUGCUAAAACAAAAACUGCCUAAACCAGAAGAGUUUAUCUUUUGCCAUUGUGUAUUAAAACUCUUCAUAGAAAUAUUUAUUUUGGAGUUUGAAAUUUAAGUGAAAAUGUGGCUCAUGCAUAGGUGUGGGUGUACAUAUGACUUUCAAGUGACAAAGAAGAUUCUUAGCAAAUUGUACGUGUUCAUUAAGACUCAUAAGUUACCUCUUUCCUAGAAAAACAAUAUACUCCUCCAAAAGCUCAACUGACAAUGAGAAACUGCAUUUCUGGACAUGAAAAGUCAAAUGAAUGCGGGGAAAAGUAAAUUGCCUAUAGAGGUAUUUUCUGUAUUUCCCUAGAGGGGGAAAUGUGUAAUUUCUCAAAAGGAAGAAGUCCUCAUUUAUCCUUCUGAACCACAAUCAUAUGAAUCCAUUCAAUUAAUAUUAAUCUUAUCUUCUAUUCUCCAUCACUCUCUACAUCUUUCUAUAAUUGCAUCAUUUUCUUGUCCGUAUAAUACAUCAAAUGCAGAGGUGAUUUUAAGGGAGCCACAAAUCAAGAAGUCUCAAUUCAAUAAUUUCGUUAAAAUGUAAGAAAUAUAUACGGAUUAAGAAUAUUCUUAGGUAAUUAUGUUCUGUUUCAAAUAUCAGUGAAAAUUUUCAUAGACAUUUAAGGGGUAAAAGACAUUUAACAGAUAGAAAAAAAUAUCUACCUUUUAAAAAAUGACCUUCUCUUUUGUCCUACGUGAUUUGUUGAGCAGACUGGGUUUUUUAAAAGUUUCUGUUGAAAUGAGCAUGUUGUAACAUGCUCAUAUCCCAUUUCAAUUGACAAAUAUCACUUGGAUAAUAAUUGUAUAUCUUAAAUAUGAACAUAUGAAGCAAUCAGCAGCAGCAUCCUUUCACUGAGCAAGGCUUAAAAAUACCAAAGAAUCAGUGCCAGAAGAAAUUCUUUAACUUAAAAUAUACGUAAUCACUACAUUACCAUAUAAAACAAUGAUUUCUAAAUGCUGGAAAGUAUAUAUCUUAAUCAUGAGACGAGGCAGCACUAUGCACAUUGUGCAUAAUAUGUGAGACAUUGAAUGGUAUAAAAUAAAUUUUAACUUUUAUCUAAGGUUUACAGGAAAAGCAGCAAUACCUAUGAUUAAGCCACCCGACUUAAAUGAGUGUUUUUAAGAUGUGGUGCUUGCACAUAAGCGGAGGAGUGGUGGUAACAACCCUUGUACAGUUCACAAAUCCAGGACUGGCAGGAAGGUAGACAAGUGUCAUUCUCAGAUUUCAGAACCCAGCCUGAAAGUGAGAGGACGUCAGGCAACAAUACCAUGCAACGACAGCGUGCAACAAAUACACAACUGGAUUAUCUUUUUAAGGGAGAAGCUUGUUUGGGUUUCUAAUUGCUUUUAAUGAACCAAGUAUUGAUUACUGUUUUACCCAAAACUGUACCAAAAUAUGUGUAAAACUGAUAAGAUAAUUUAUAGCUUUCUAGUUAUGGAAAAGCUUGCAAAUUAAAUAAUUCAAAUCUCAAUUUAAGAACUGUAAAAAUGAGAAAUUGGUUCAUGUACCAUAGUGAUAAUAAUACCAACAAUACUUAACAGUAGACUAUGCAGACACUAACCAUAAGAGAUUUGUAGUGGCUAUACUAAUAUCAGAUGAAACAGACUUUAAGAAAGAAAUUUCUUUUUCUUUUUUCUUUUUUUUGAAGUGCAAUGGCACAAUCUUGGCUCACUGCAACCUCUGCCUCCCGGGUUCAAGCAAUUCUCCUGCCUCAGCUUCCCAAGUAGCUGGGAUUACAGGUGCCCGCCACCAUGCCUGGCUAAUUUUUUGUAUUUUUUUAGUAGAGAUGGGGUUUCACCAUGUCAGCCAGGCUGAUCUCAAACUCCUGACCUGAUGUGAUCCACCUGUCUCGGCCUCCCAAAUGGGAUUACAGGCCAGCGCGUCUGGCUGACAAGAAAUAUUUUUAGAGACAGAAAUUCCAUACUGAUAAGAGGGUCAAUACAUUGAGAAGAUAUAACAGUUAUAAAUGUAUAUGCACCCAGUAACAGAGCCCUAAAUUCAUGAAGCAAAAAUGAUUGAAUUGAACAGAGAAAUAUACAAACAACAGUAGUUUGAUAUUUCAGUAUCCUACUCACAAUAAUGUGUAGAACAACCAGGCAGAAAAUCACUAAGUAUAUAGAAGGCUUGAACAAGACUCUCAACCUAACCAACAUGUACAGACCACUGUACUUAAUGACAGCUGAAUUUAUGUUCUUUUUAAAAAGUAUACUCUCCAGGAUAGCCUUAUGUUAGACCAUAAAUAAGUCUCAGUAAAUUUAAAAGAAUUGGGAUCAUACAAAGUACAUUCUCCAGUUACAGUGGAAUUAAAUUAGGGAUUGACAAUAGAAAGAAAUUUGGAAAAUCCCCAGAUGUUUGGAAAUUAGAUUACUCAUGGGCCAAGGAAGAAGUACUAAAGGAAAUUAGAAAGUAUUUUGAAAUGAAUGAAAGUGAAAACAUAUUGAAGUCAUGCACUGCAGCUAAAACAGUGAUCAAAAGGGUAUUUAGUCCUUUAAACACCAAGAAAAAGAGUCUCAAAUCUACACUUCCACCUUGAAAACUAGAAAAAGAGGAGGAACGUAAACCUUUAGCAAAGGGAGGAAAUAAUGAUCAUAUUGCAAAUCAAUAAAAUAAGUAACAAAAAUAGAGAAAAUGAAAAUCAAAAGUUUGUUUUUUAGAAAAAAAAAAAAACCAGUAAAAUUAAUGAGCCAACAUUAAACUGGCCAAAAAAUUAAAAAGACCAAAAUUAGGAAUCAAAACAGGUACAUCACUACCAACCCAAAUUAAAAGGAUUGUAAGAGACUGUAAAUAACGUUGUGCCAAUAAAUUAGACAAUGCAGAUGAAUUGGACAAAUUCCUAGACAGACACAAAUUGCCAAAACUGGCUCAAUAGAAAAUCCAAAAAGACUUUAUUUUCUAUGGUGGUUGUAAAAAAAAAAAAAAGUAUUAUAAACUAGGUGGCUUAAGACAACAGAAAUUUAUUAUCUCAUGUUCUAGAGACAUGAAGCUCGAUCAAAGUGUUGGCAGGGCUCUGCUCCCUCUGAAACCUGGAAGAGAGAAUUCUUGUCUCUUUCCCACUGCUGGUGUUUUCAGCAAUCCUUGGCCUUUCUUGGUGCUCCUUGGUUUUACAACUGCAGCACUUCAGUCUCUGCCUGCAUCUCCACAUGUGCUGUUCCCUCACGUGCCUGUCUCCUAGAGGCUGAAGUGCCCAGCCUACUCCAGUGUGACCUCAUCUUAAUGAAUUACAUCUGCAAUGA
Molecule: long non-coding RNA, 4554 nt
Filed under: Homo sapiens (human)
Lineage: Eukaryota; Metazoa; Chordata; Mammalia; Primates; Hominidae
Description: non-protein coding lnc-IRS1-6:1
Source: RNAcentral